GCGGGUGUAGUUCAGCGUUAGAAUGCUUCCUUCCCAAGGAAGAGGUCCGGGGUUAGAAUCCCCGUACCCGCACCA
This 75-nucleotide transfer RNA is filed under the name Candidatus Saccharimonadota bacterium. RNAcentral's name for it is "tRNA-Gly". It matches the Rfam family "tRNA". Rfam says of the family: Transfer RNA (tRNA) molecules are approximately 80 nucleotides in length. Lineage: Bacteria; Candidatus Saccharimonadota. The record is from RNAcentral.